UCACACCUGAUGAUGACUGUGUUAGUCGAAACGUCGUGAGAAUUUAUUUUAUAUAUUUUUUAUUAUUAUGUUGCUUCCCUUCAACGUGACUUUACCGAAAGAACCAAUAUUAUAGAUCUGAUUUUUGUCCGUGAAAACAUGGUUAGAUUUAAGUUAAUGGAGUUUAUAACAUUGUACAAAUUAGACGGAAAAACAUGAAACAAUACAAACGAUUCGCAACAAUCCAAUCACUGUUGAGGAGUGGUGUUGUCCAGUAACAUUAAGUCUAAACUGUGCGAUUGUGCGAAUUAUAAUAAAUCAUGAGUCAAGUUGAAAUAAAAAUGGGCCUACUUCCUUAUAAGCCUACGUGAUAAAGAUUAUCCAGUUUGCAUUAAAAACAGGUCCAUAAUUGUUUUUUUUCCUUCGAGAGCCAAUUCCAAGCACACAGCCUGUUUAUGCCUCCAGGGUUAUGCAUUACACAUCAAGGGGUAAUUGUUGGCAAGACAUGUUGGGAUUUUUUAAAUGUUUUUUUUUAUUUGUCAAAACAGACGAGCACAAGAACCAGUUUAGAUAACGUCCACAAUGAGCACAAACAAGCAUAAUAAUGGUUGCCCAAAGUUAUGACCUUGGAAACAACACAAUCAUAGAAUGUUAAACAUAAUUUUAACCGUCAUCUCAGUCUAUAAUUUUCCCUUUGGAAUAUUUAAACGUUCCAUGGUAUAUUGCUCGUAUAAAAUUAUCGAACUUAAGUUCAAUUUAGGAACGAUGGGGCUGCUGGUCUGCUCGACUUUACCAACAUUAUUAUUGUUAUAGCUCAAACUCUUAAACGUAGAGUAGAAGCCAAUAUACUAAACACACACUUGGUAGCAAAGCAAGGUGUGCUUACAUACAGAGUGUGCUUGUAUCAGUAUUUCCUCUACUGUAUGGACUUAAAAUGCCCACUGUGGACCAAUAAUAAAAAGCGUGGAAUGUUUGUACAGGGGCAGUGCAGGUACACUCGUGGGCAGUCAAACACGCAGGUGCGUCACUGAUAUGACUUUGCAUUUCUCAAAGAAGGUCGUGACCCCCCUGUGGACAGGUACACACAAGGUAGUGAUACCCCCUGUGGUCAGGUACACAAAAGGUAGUGACCCCCCCUGUGGACAGGUACACACAAGGUAGUGAUACCCCCUGUGGACAGGUACACACAAGGUAGUGAUACCCCCUGUGGACAGGUACACACAAGGUAGUGAUACCCCCUGUGGACAGGUACACACAAGGUAGUGAUACCCCCUGUGGACAGGUACACACAAGGUAGUGAUACCCCCUGUGGACAGGUACACACAAGGUAGUGAUACCCCCUGUGGACAGGUACACACAAGGUAGUGAUACCCCCUGUGGACAGGUACACACAAGGUAGUGAUACCCCCUGUGGACAGGUACACACAAGGCUGAGCAGCGGGCCGGCAAGAGCAGUAAGCGUGGGGUAGUGGCUGCCAGCCACGCCACGUCACACUCCGAUGUUGGGCGAAUGUCAUCAUUAUCUGGGCAAGGUGUCGUCUCGUUUUUAAAUUCAACUGAACUAUUUGGCAUUGUCAUCGAUAUGGGAAGGUGUGUCAUUUACCCGACUUCGGUACCCUCAGGCGCCACUGUAACAACAACAUUGGGUUAGUGACCUGUCAAAAAUAACCAGUGUGUGACACAUCAAAUUGCAAUGGUGCUUUUAAAAACGAAUACAAUUCACACAAUGCUGUGUAUCAACGUACAUGUUAUAAUUUUUUUGUACACGUACACUUAUUGUUGAAUGGUUACAAUACGACACAGGAUACUGUGCAAUUGUUAUACUCUGUAAUGUAUAGCCACAAGCACCUACAUGAAGUCAUUGCGUGGUUUUCAAUGGAUUGUCGAUAUCGUCAUACAAUUACAAUACUGUAGUGUACAUACUUUAUCUUACUUUAAAUUCUCAAUUGACUCCGAAACCUGCUUAAAACAAAUACAUCACGACUGACACAAGCAGAUAUCAGAAUGAUACUCUAAAAGUCUAAAUACAUAUACACAAUCACAAAAUAUAAAUUUAUGGACUUCACACAGCACAUUCAGUCUAACAGAAAAUAAAUUCAGUUACAUAUACACACACAUUUAAAACAAACCUCAAUAGGAAGCUUUGUCCAACAAAACCCAGCCACACGACCAUAAAAAAACACGACUCCUUAGACCAGGAUGUUGUUGAGGGCAUAAAGUAUGCGGGUUUGCUACUUUGGUACUGUACCAAAAUACCAACGAAAUGUAUCUCAAGGCCACGUGCAACACGACGAGAUGACAGACCACGAGUGCCGCUUACCAAUAAACGAUGUGUAUUUUGAGCGGCAUAGCUGCUGUAGAGGUGGUUGAGGCCGAAACGUCUGUUCUGCACCGUCACUGCACCGCGUCUUCGGUUUUGUCUACACCGGGCCAUUUAUAUGGAGACGCGGGCACAACCAUUCCGUCACCCUUCAGAGGGGUAAUGUGAUAGACUGGAUUUGUUCAAUGAUCUCAAGUACGGUUACAAACAAGGUGGAUGAAAGUACAUUUCAGUUAAUUUAAUUAUAACAAAUAUUUUAUACGACAAAACUGUGCUGUUUAGUGUCGCCUUAAUGUAUAUCGAUAAUGCAUGUCACAAUUGACCCCUACUUUACGAAUGAUACUGCCCAUUCUCGUGUUAACAAAGUGAAUGCGUCCUUUCAGCAUGGGCGUUGUGCAAGAUACUGGACCCGGCCAAACACACGCCGAUCUCGCAGAUUUUAAAUAGACGCAUUUUUUUGUUACUUAUAUUUCCUAAUCAAAGACUUGUCUAUAGAUACAAAAUAUAUUAUAAAAGAUAGAUAUCAAAUGUCACCAUUAAAUAAAUACAUCAUGGAUAUUACCUCGAUAGUGUCUUGCCGAGGUACGUAAUAGUUGUAAAAAUUAAAUCUGAAAAUAUUCAACCCUUUGAAAAUUCCAUUGAAGCACAAUGCGAACACAGCAGUUAUCGAUUAUCCAGCGUCUUCGGGGGGCGCCGGAUUAAUAAACCCCGCAGGGUAAUCACUACAGUAUGUUAUACAUUAAGGCGACAUUCUUGCAUAUCACGUUUCUAGGUGUUGCGUAUGUCUGUUUUGUGUUUACAAAAUGUUAUUACGUGAAAUAGGCACGAAUAAACAUAGACAAAUGUCCAAAUGAAACAAAAACUACUGUCUCAUACUUUCCACGGCACUCAAAGUCUCUGCAUGGGGCGAUGAUGCACGUCGUUCUGCUACGUUUUUUAAAAAAUGUGACCUUUUUGCCAAUAUCAAAGUAUUUAAAAAAAAUACUGGCAAAAAGGUCCCUUGUAGCUGCUCACCCCGAGCUAUAACUGCCCUGAUGGUGCACUGCCUUUGCUUUUAUUUGGUUCUUUCGGUAAAGUCACGUAGAUAGAAAAAAAUAAAUAAAAGAUUACGACGUUUCGAUCGCAACACAAGCGGUCGUCCUCAGGCGGAAAAACAAUAAUUCAGCAGUACAUCCACUGCUGGAUGAGGGCCUAGCCACGCCGUUGUCGGUCACGGGGGUUGUUUGUUGACCAUACUUCACGCUUGUCAGUGUGGGUUUGUGAAGCUGGCGUGGGUGGGCAGGUUCCAAUCAGAUGAGACUCACCAUUGAUGUUAGCCAUGGCUGGGAAUCGAAUUUGGGUUCCCGGGUUCAUAGUGCAGUGGUAUGCCAACCCAUUAUUUAAUCCAUGUACAUCACCAAAGCAAUGGCAUGUUGUACAUGGCCACAGGGCUUUGGGAGUAUGCACGAUACGUGGGUUCAGUCCGGUUUACAAAGUAUUUUCCCGUUACUGCCCUCUGCCCAUUGUUUUUGUUUAACUCUCUUUCGUUUGUGGAGAGACAGAAAAAUCAGUAUCAUCCGAUUACUAAAUGUGUUACUUCUAUUCUCCAUAAGGACGCGAGAGAUGAGCGUGUGCUACGUGUUGUUACGCAAGAUUUGCGUCCAACUUAAAACCCAACAGCCAGCAGCAUCAGCAUCACCAAAUCAAUUAAUCCGUCACUUCUGGCUCUUGUGCCACCAGGAAUUUGGUUAGACGAACUUACGAACAGAUACAGAUCUUCGUGAAGCCGUGGCAAGUGGUAAGGGAAAUAAUACAUAAAUACAAAUACGGAGGGAAAAUAAAAGGUUACACAUCGAAGAAGACCUGAUGAUGCAGACAGUGAUGAGAAGGAAACUGGCACCAUCUGGACAAAUGUGUAGGAUGGUGAACAACAGGAAUAUUAAAAGUGUCUUGUUCGGAAAAAUGUAAGGACCCGUAGAGGACGACCUUACAGAGAAUGGCUUGAAGAUGACAUAAGAGAUUGUUUCUAGAUUUGAAGUUUUCGUGACUGCAAGGAUCCAUACUCUUUGGUUCUAUUCGGUAAAGUCA
Non-coding RNA from Petromyzon marinus (sea lamprey), 4366 nucleotides. Lineage: Eukaryota; Metazoa; Chordata; Hyperoartia; Petromyzontiformes; Petromyzontidae. The record is from RefSeq and is a predicted model, not a curated record.